RNAcentral lists this ribosomal RNA (627 nucleotides) under Vibrio parahaemolyticus. Its description in RNAcentral is "partial 23S ribosomal RNA". It matches the Rfam family "Bacterial large subunit ribosomal RNA", at positions 592 to 1301 of the family's 2925-position model. The record is from RNAcentral. Lineage: Bacteria; Pseudomonadati; Pseudomonadota; Gammaproteobacteria; Vibrionales; Vibrionaceae.
UGUGACUGCGUACCUUUUGUAUAAUGGGUCAGCGACUUAUAUUCAGUGGCAAGGUUAACCAUCUAGGGGAGCCGUAGGGAAACCGAGUCUUAACUGGGCGUUCAGUCUCUGGAUAUAGACCCGAAACCAGGUGAUCUAGCCAUGGGCAGGUUGAAGGUUGAGUAACAUCAACUGGAGGACCGAACCGACUAAUGUUGAAAAAUUAGCGGAUGACUUGUGGCUAGGGGUGAAAGGCCAAUCAAACCUGGAGAUAGCUGGUUCUCCCCGAAAGCUAUUUAGGUAGCGCCUCGGACGAAUACUACUGGGGGUAGAGCACUGUUAAGGCUAGGGGGUCAUCCCGACUUACCAGGGAAACAACCCAGACCGCCAGCUAAGGUCCCAAAUUACUACUAAGUGGGAAACGAUGUGGGAAGGCUCAGACAGCCAGGAUGUUGGCUUAGAAGCAGCCAUCAUUUAAAGAAAGCGUAAUAGCUCACUGGUCGAGUCGGCCUGCGCGGAAGAUGUAACGCUCCUCGCCGGAAGACCAAGGGUUCCUGUCCAACGUUAAUCGGGGCAGGGUAAGUCGACCCCUAAGGCGAGGCCGAAAGGCGUAGUCGAUGGGAAACGGGUUAAUAUUCCCGUACUUCU